AGAGUUUGAUCCUGGCUCAGGACGAACGCUGGCGGCGUGCUUAACACAUGCAAGUCGAACGAAGAGCGAUGGAAGCUUGCUUCUAUCAAUCUUAGUGGCGAACGGGUGAGUAACGCGUAAUCAACCUGCCCUUCAGAGGGGGACAACAGUUGGAAACGACUGCUAAUACCGCAUACGAUCCAAUCUCGGCAUCGAGACUGGAUGAAAGGUGGCCUCUAUUUAUAAGCUAUCACUGAAGGAGGGGAUUGCGUCUGAUUAGCUAGUUGGAGGGGUAACGGCCCACCAAGGCGAUGAUCAGUAGCCGGUCUGAGAGGAUGAACGGCCACAUUGGGACUGAGACACGGCCCAGACUCCUACGGGAGGCAGCAGUGGGGAAUCUUCCGCAAUGGACGAAAGUCUGACGGAGCAACGCCGCGUGAGUGAUGACGGCCUUCGGGUUGUAAAGCUCUGUUAAUCGGGACGAAUGGUUCUUGUGCGAAUAGUGCGAGGAUUUGACGGUACCGGAAUAGAAAGCCACGGCUAACUACGUGCCAGCAGCCGCGGUAAUACGUAGGUGGCAAGCGUUGUCCGGAAUUAUUGGGCGUAAAGCGCGC
Molecule: ribosomal RNA, 593 nt
Filed under: uncultured Veillonella sp.
Lineage: Bacteria; Bacillati; Bacillota; Negativicutes; Veillonellales; Veillonellaceae
Description: bacterial SSU rRNA
Rfam family: Bacterial small subunit ribosomal RNA
Source: RNAcentral